UGUUUGAUCCUGGCUCAGAACGAACGCUGGCGGCGUGGCUAAGACAUGCAAGUCGUACGGACCGCAGUAGCAAUAUUGCGGUUAGUGGCGAAAGGGUGAGUAAUGCAUGGGUAACGUACCCUGAACUCGGGGAUAACAGCGCCCGCAAGGGCUUUAGCGAAAGUGCUGCUAAUACCCGAUGAAGUCGCCGGGUCGCAUGAUUCGGUGACCAAAGGCGGGGACCGCAAGGCCUGCCGGUUUGGGAGCGGCCCAUGUCCUAUCAGCUAGUUGGUGAGGUAACGGCCCACCAAGGCGACGACGGGUAGCGGGACUGAGAGGUCGGCCCGCCACAUCGGGACUGAGACACUGCCCGGACACCUACGGGUGGCUGCAGUAACGAAUAUUGGGCAAUGGGCGCAAGCCUGACCCAGCGACGCCGCGUGCAGGAGGAAGCCCCUCGGGGUGUAAACUGCUGUCAGGGUUCAGCAAGCAAAGGGCGUGAACAGCGCCCCGGCGUUUGAGCAGACCCAGAGAAGCCUCUACU
Molecule: ribosomal RNA, 523 nt
Filed under: uncultured bacterium
Lineage: Bacteria
Description: bacterial SSU rRNA
Rfam family: Bacterial small subunit ribosomal RNA
Source: RNAcentral